GGUGGUGUACAGCUCAGUGGUGGAGUGCAUACCUAGCAUGCAUGAGGCCCUGGGUUCAAUCCCCAAUACCUCCA
This 74-nucleotide transfer RNA is filed under the name Camelus bactrianus (Bactrian camel). It matches the Rfam family "tRNA". Rfam says of the family: Transfer RNA (tRNA) molecules are approximately 80 nucleotides in length. Their secondary structure includes four short double-helical elements and three loops (D, anti-codon, and T loops). Further hydrogen bonds mediate the characteristic L-shaped molecular structure. tRNAs have two regions of fundamental functional importance: the anti-codon, which is responsible for specific mRNA codon recognition, and the 3' end, to which the tRNAs corresponding amino acid is attached (by aminoacyl-tRNA synthetases). tRNAs cope with the degeneracy of the genetic code in two manners: having more than one tRNA (with a specific anti-codon) for a particular amino acid; and 'wobble' base-pairing, i.e. permitting non-standard base-pairing at the 3rd anti-codon position. The record is from Rfam by way of RNAcentral. RNAcentral also lists the same sequence under 2 other names. Lineage: Eukaryota; Metazoa; Chordata; Mammalia; Artiodactyla; Camelidae.